CAGCCGCCGCGGUAAUACAGAGGGUGCAAGCGUUAAUCGGAAUUACUGGGCGUAAAGCGCGCGUAGGUGGUUUGUUAAGUUGAAUGUGAAAUCCCCGGGCUCAACCUGGGAACUGCAUCCAAAACUGGCAGGCUAGAGUAGGGCAGAGGGUGGUGGAAUUUCCUGUGUAGCGGUGAAAUGCGUAGAUAUAGGAAGGAACACCAGUGGCGAAGGCGACCACCUGGGCUCAUACUGACACUGAGGUGCGAAAGCGUGGGGAGCAAACAGGAUUAGAUACCCCGGUAGUCCCUGUCUCUUAUAC
RNAcentral lists this ribosomal RNA (301 nucleotides) under uncultured bacterium. Its description in RNAcentral is "partial 16S ribosomal RNA". It matches the Rfam family "Bacterial small subunit ribosomal RNA", at positions 509 to 807 of the family's 1533-position model. The record is from RNAcentral.